UUGACCUCAAAUCAGGUAGGACUACCCGCUGAACUUAAGCAUAUCAAUAAGCGGAGGACUGGAAGUAAAAGUCGUAACAAGGCAUAUCAAUAAGCGGA
Molecule: ribosomal RNA, 98 nt
Filed under: Amanita basiorubra
Lineage: Eukaryota; Fungi; Basidiomycota; Agaricomycetes; Agaricales; Amanitaceae
Description: partial 28S ribosomal RNA
Source: RNAcentral